GCUUCACUCUCCCCUCCCCUUUGGGCCGUACCAUUCUUCACAUUAAUAAAGGGGGGGUCUACUCGAAAUAACCGAGAACCGACAACAACCGCCUCUCUUUCCAGCUCCUCUCCGUGUUGACAGUGUUGUUCCGAAUACGAGCCGGAACAAAGCCCUUUCCAUGUGUUUUCCGAAAAUAUUAAUUUGUAUCGAUCCGUGUGAGAAAGCAAUCUAGCACCCCUCUCUUUCAUUAGGCUUGGUAGAACCCCGGCCGUACCAUUUUUUGCGAUUUUUGGAGGGGGAAAUAGAAACGCUCUUCUUGUAUUAGACCUAGAACAAUGCUCUAGGUAAAUAUGCAUUGAUGAUUAUCUGAAGUCUAAGAAACGUUCGGUGGAAAAUAAAAGAAGCCUCGCCUCGCCACAAACACACCUAUAGGCCAUAUAACGAUUCGACGUUCUUUCUCCUCAUCUCCAGGCAAGGAACAAAGAGGGAAAGAACAGUACACCACGCGGCUCCCCUCUAUGGAGAUUCGCAAUGGUAUCGCCCUCAAGAGUACUUCGGCUAUCGGCAAAUUCCAUUGCCGAAAAUAGGAGAGCCAGCGGGCAGGGGGAGAAUCGCUCUUUUAAUCGCACUCCGUUUAGACAUUUUUUUUAAUUCAUUCUGCUGAGAUGUGUGUGUGUUUUUUGUAAUGUUUUCUUUUCCCACAACGAAUUCAAGGUCACGUGGUCAUCUUUUAAAAAUAAACUUUCAACUUGAAGUUAAA
Anolis carolinensis (green anole) is the source of this 742-nucleotide long non-coding RNA. RefSeq lists it as uncharacterized. The transcript is spliced from 2 exons. Lineage: Eukaryota; Metazoa; Chordata; Lepidosauria; Squamata; Anolidae. The record is from RefSeq and is a predicted model, not a curated record.